ACUCCUACGGGAGGCAGCAGUGGGGAAUAUUGCACAAUGGGCGCAAGCCUGAUGCAGCCAUGCCGCGUGUGUGAAGAAGGCCUUCGGGUUGUAAAGCACUUUCAGUCGUGAGGAAGGGUAGGUUGUAAGUUAACGACCUGCUAUUAUUUGACGUUACCUACAGAAGAAGCACCGGCUAACUCCGUGCCAGCAGCCGCGGUAAUACGGAGGGUGCGAGCGUUAAUCGGAAUUACUGGGCGUAAAGCGCAUGCAGGCGGCCUGUUAAGUCAGAUGUGAAAGCCCGGGGCUUAACCUCGGAAUUGCAUUUGAAACUGGCAGGCUAGAGUCUUGUAGAGGGGGGUAGAAUUUCAGGUGUAGCGGUGAAAUGCGUAGAGAUCUGAAGGAAUACCAGUGGCGAAGGCGGCCCCCUGGACAAAGACUGACGCUCAGAUGCGAAAGCGUGGGGAGCAAACAGGAUU
Molecule: ribosomal RNA, 458 nt
Filed under: uncultured bacterium
Lineage: Bacteria
Description: bacterial SSU rRNA
Rfam family: Bacterial small subunit ribosomal RNA
Source: RNAcentral